This 3261-nucleotide long non-coding RNA is filed under the name Canis lupus familiaris (dog). RNAcentral's name for it is "lncRNA (ENSCAFG00000050894.1)". The record is from RNAcentral. Lineage: Eukaryota; Metazoa; Chordata; Mammalia; Carnivora; Canidae.
AUCCCAGGACCCUGGGAUCAUGCCCUGAGCCUAAGGCAGACGCUCAACUGCUGAGCCAUCCAGGUGUCCUGGGUAUCUAACUCGAUCUCAGCUCAGGUCUUAAUCUCAGGGUCAUGAGCUCAAGUCCAGUGUUGGGCUCCAUGUUGGGCAUGGAGCCUACUUAAAAACAAUAAUUAAUUAAUUAAAAAUUGGAAUUAAUCUGAAGUAGAUAGGUUGUUAUAAAUUAAGAUGUUAAUUGUAAUUCCCAGUGCAAUUAUUAAGAAAAUAAUUCAAAGAAAGAGCAAGAGAAUUAAAAUUGGGACUAGAAAAUACAUAGUUAGGGGUGCCUGAGUGGCUCAGUUGGUUGUGCAUCUAACUCAGUUUUGGCUUGGGUCAUGACCUUGGAGUCAUAGGAUUGAGCCCUGCAUUGGGCUCCAUGCCGGGCAUGGAGUCUGCUUCAGAUUCUUUUCCCCUCUCUCUCCCCCUCCUCUCAUCACUCACAUGCACACACACUCUCUCUAAAAUGAAUAAAUAAAAUCUUAAAAAAAAAAAAGAAAAUAUAGUUAAUGAUCCCCAAAUUUUAAAAGGGCAAAUAAUGAUAUUUGUUUUCUAUAUGUCUUAUGUCUUUUUUCUUCUUACAUUUAAAAAUAAACCAAUAUACCUCUGAGUUCCAUUCCCUGUUCUGCUUUGAUUGCCCACAUUUGCAAAGAUUUUGGUGCAUAUACAAUAAACCUUUAAAUAGUACUUUGGUAAUUCAUUGAUUUUACUUCUGUUAUUUACGAUUUUUUUUUUUUUAGAUUUUAUUUAUUUAUUCAUGAGAGACACACAGAGAGAGGCAGAGACAAAGGCAGAGGGAGAAGCAGGCUCUUUGCAGGGAACCUGAUGUGGGACUCGAUCCCUGGACCUCGGUAUCAUGCCCUGUGCCGAAGGCAGAUGUUCAACCACUGAGCUACCCAGGAGUUCCUAUUUAUGAACUUUUGGCAAAAUGCUUAUUUGGAUAUUUUAAAUUAAAGAAAAUAUUCAUUUUACCUAUUUCUAACUUGAUUGGCAAAUUUGGGAGGAAAACUUGGCAUGCUCGUCCCCUUGGUAGUAAGCUAUCUGUAAAGAACACAGAAUUUGUCCAGCUCCUCCAGGGGCAGGCCCUCCUUGAGGAUAUGGUUUUUAGGGGCAUUUUUGGCUGAAUCUUGGUUCAAGUCUUAUCCUCUAAUCUGGCCUCUGUCAGCUAUCAGGUUCUCUCCCAUCCACUUUCACUGAGGUCAUAGGAAACCUCAGGUAGCUGUCUCGUGUAAUAGCAAUCUGUUUUUCGAUCUUGGAAUGAUUUAGUAGAUCUAGGAUACGAGAAUCAAAACUAUAUUAUCAGUAUUUUUGUGUUAAGAAUUGGUAUAUUUCAUUGAAUGUUGGAGAGGAUUUCGCUUAUUAGAGUACAGCUUCAUAAAUCCAAUCUAAAGUGUGUAAUUGAGUAAUUGAAUUAGGCUUAAUUUUCAGUUGACAUCUUCCUAGGUUUUGUGUAGAAUUGGAACUUUCAACAGGUUCAUCUUAUUAUUAUAAGUUUAAUUUAACAGUUGUCUAAGCAGGGGCACCUGGGUGGAUCAGUGGUUGGGCAUCUGCCUUUGGCUCUGGUCAUGAUCCCGGAGUCCUGGGAUCGAGUCCUACAUCGGGCUUCCCGCAGGCAACCUGCUUCUCCCUCUGCCUGUGUCUCUGCCUCUCUCUGUGUCUCUCAUGAAGACAUAAAUAAAAUCUUUAAGAAAAAAAAAUCAGUUGUUUAAGUACUCAGCAAACACUGAAGGAGAGGUAUGAAAACUUGAUGGUUAAAUAUAUACCUACAUUGUUAAACUGUUAGAAAUAAUACUUUUUUGCAACUUGUGGAAGAACUAGGUUUUUAAACUUUUUUUUUUAAGAUUUUAUUUAUUCACGACAGACACACACACACACACACACACACACAAACAGAAAGGCAGAGACAGAGGCAGAGGGAGAAGCAGGCUCCAUGCAGGGAGCCCAAUGUGGGACUUGAUCCCAGGACUUCGGAACCACGCCCUGAGCCAAAGUCAGACACUCAACUGCUGAGCCACCCAGGCGUCCCUAGGUUUUUUAAUUUUGUAAAUCAAAUAAAUUGAACAUUAAUUUAUAAAAUGCAUAUUGAUAUAUGAUUAGUCUUUUCUGCAACAAAAAGUGCCCUCAAGGAUACCAAAAACUUUGUGUCAGCAACAUGCAUGGUCUUCUUGCUAGGCUGCUAGAGAAGUCUCCCAGUCGUUAAGCCUCCUAGAGUAUAAGUAGUCUAGAAAAACCCUAAACCACACAGCAAAGGUGCAUGUGCACCACUUACACAUGUCCACUCAAAACCAGGACACUGGCUGGGAGAGUGGCUAUUCACAGUGCCUGGUUACUUUCUGCUUAGGGUAAUGACUCGGUUAAAAUGCUGUUGUGGAAUUUCCUGGGGUCAAAGGCCAGUGAAAGCGGUGAAGGUCAUGCACAAAGGGAGAUGUGUCCCAGGCUGAUGAAACAUCAUCUACAAGGGGCCUGAAAGCGGUUCAGCAGGAUCGUGAAACAGAUGAAGGACUGAAGCAGGGAAAUGCUUCCCGUUAGCCUGGAAGGCUGACCUAAAGCCUGGAUUGUUUUGAUAAACAUCAAAUACGUGCUGGUUGCUACAGUGAUUAAGGGUCUCGUGACUGCCUAUAUAUCUCACCUAUACUUAAUGUCAGACUGAAUGAUAAGCAGCAGAGGAAUCUUGCAAACGUAGUUUUACAAGUAGAAAUUCAAGGACUCUUGAAAUCUGACACUCCCUGCAUACCCGCUUUCUUUUUGAUUACUAGGUCUGUAACAACCAGCCUCACAGCAAAAAGUGCUGCUCUUUCUGCCCGUGGGUCCUGCGCCUGUGCUUAGAUAAACUAAGUUGCACCAUGAACGUCUCAAGAACGCUUUCUUGACCGAUGCACUUGACAACCCCGCAUAAUUUUGCAGGGCGGGGUACAGGGACCGGGCAAAAAGAAUUCAAGAGCUUCAGUGCAGCUCAGUAAGUCUUCUUGACACUCCCACCCUCCUCUGUCUUUCCUACGUGUUCUUUUUCAGAGAUGUCCUGAAUAGCACGACCCUUCAGAAUGUGCCUUGUCUGAGUGUUCAGCAGAGCACCUCUAGCCUGUGGCUACACCGCAGGGAAGGACAAAUUCCUGCCACUGGGCUGGUUGCUAGUGCCUUGGCCGUAAUGGCAUAGGGCUCAGAGAUCAGGCUCUUCCUGUUUUACCUGUUCUUUGAAUACUUGUAUUCUUCUCAGGCACUGGACAG